GGCGAACGCUGGCGGCAUGCCUAACACAUGCAAGUCGAACGGAGAUUAUUUCGGUAAUCUUAGUGGCGAACGGGUGAGUAACGCGUGGGCAACCUGCCCUCUAGAUGGGGACAACAUCCCGAAAGGGGUGCUAAUACCGAAUGUGACAGCAAUCUCGCAUGAGGAUGCUGUGAAAGAUGGCCUCUAUUUAUAAGCUAUCGCUAGAGGAUGGGCCUGCGUCUGAUUAGCUAGUUGGUGGGGUAACGGCCUACCAAGGCGAUGAUCAGUAGCCGGUCUGAGAGGAUGAACGGCCACAUUGGGACUGAGACACGGCCCAGACUCCUACGGGAGGCAGCAGUGGGGAAUCUUCCGCAAUGGGCGAAAGCCUGACGGAGCAAUGCCGCGUGAGUGAUGAAGGAAUUCGUUCCGUAAAGCUCUUUUGUUUAUGACGAAUGUACAGAUUGUGAACAAUGAUCUGUAAUGACGGUAGUAAACGAAUAAGCCACGGCUAACUACGUG
This 498-nucleotide ribosomal RNA is filed under the name uncultured bacterium. RNAcentral's name for it is "partial 16S ribosomal RNA". It matches the Rfam family "Bacterial small subunit ribosomal RNA", at positions 28 to 507 of the family's 1533-position model. The record is from RNAcentral.